UGGGGAAUAUUGGACAAUGGGCGCAAGCCUGAUGCAGCCAUGCCGCGUGUAUGAAGAAGGCCUUCGGGUUGUAAAGUACUUUCAGCGGGGAGGAAGGUGUUGUGGUUAAUAACCUCAGCAAUUGACGUUACCCGCAGAAGAAGCACCGGCUAACUCCGUGCCAGCAGCCGCGGUAAUACGGAGGGUGCAAGCGUUAAUCGGAAUUACUGGGCGUAAAGCGCACGCAGGCGGUCUGUCAAGUCGGAUGUGAAAUCCCCGGGCUCAACCUGGGAACUGCAUCCGAAACUGGCAGGCUUGAGUCUUGUAGAGGGGGGUAGAAUUCCAGGUGUAGCGGUGAAAUGCGUAGAGAUCUGGAGGAAUACCGGUGGCGAAGGCGGCCCCCUGGACAAAGACUGACGCUCAGGUGCGAAAGCGUGGGGAGCAAACA
Molecule: ribosomal RNA, 427 nt
Filed under: uncultured bacterium
Lineage: Bacteria
Description: partial 16S ribosomal RNA
Rfam family: Bacterial small subunit ribosomal RNA
Source: RNAcentral